Molecule: long non-coding RNA, 219 nt
Filed under: Lathyrus oleraceus (garden pea)
Lineage: Eukaryota; Viridiplantae; Streptophyta; Magnoliopsida; Fabales; Fabaceae
Description: Pisum sativum (pea) long non-coding RNA (PSAT_LNC036378)
Source: RNAcentral
AACUCAGAAAAAAAAAUCAAAAAGAGUAUAUCAACAGGUUCAUACAUGACCUGACAACACCGGAAAAUUCAAAGGAUUUUCGACAACAAGUUCAAACGUGAUCUAACAAUACUUGAAUAUUCAAGGAAUUUUCAACAACUGGUUCAAACAUGACCUGACAAUGUUAGGGGAUAUCAAAAAGGUUCCAUAAACAGGUUCAAACAUGACCUAACAGCAUUG